Long non-coding RNA from Cotesia glomerata, 335 nucleotides. RefSeq lists it as uncharacterized. The transcript is spliced from 3 exons. The record is from RefSeq and is a predicted model, not a curated record. Lineage: Eukaryota; Metazoa; Arthropoda; Insecta; Hymenoptera; Braconidae.
AGUUCAAUUUUAGGGUCUUCUAGUCUAGAAGCCCGAAUUUCGAGCGUUUUUUGGCAGUCGAUAAAAAAAAAGCAUUUGAUAUUUUUAUUGUCCAUUUUUUUAUCAUUUGUUUAUUUAUAUUCAGAUAGUACACAAAAUUAAUUUAAAAAAAAAAAAUUUUUUUAUCAAGUUAUGCGUCCUUGAAGUAGAGGGGGAAAAAAGGCCGUGUCCUCGUCGCCAUGAUUUCUGCCCUUGUGGUCAUCUGAAAAAUAAAACAAUGAUGGAUUCUUGAUUAGUACAAAUUUCGCUAUCUCAUGAACCAACAAAAAAUAAAAGUUUGAAAUUUUUAAUAAUUU